This 70-nucleotide transfer RNA is filed under the name Microlophus tigris. RNAcentral describes it as "tRNA-Ile". Lineage: Eukaryota; Metazoa; Chordata; Lepidosauria; Squamata; Tropiduridae. The record is from RNAcentral.
GAAAUGUGCCCGAGAUACCAAGGAUUACUUUGAUAGAGUAAAAUACAGAGAAUAAUACCUCUCAUUUCCU